UGGGGAAUAUUGCACAAUGGAGGGAACUCUGAUGCAGCGACGCCGCGUGAACGAAGAAGGCUUUCGAGUCGUAAAGUUCUUUUAUAUGGGAAGAUAAUGACGGUACCAUAAGAAAAAGCCCCGGCUAACUACGUGCCAGCAGCCGCGGUAAUACGUAGGGGGUUAGCGUUUUCCGGAAUCACUUGGCGUAAAGGGUUCGCAGGCGGAAAUGCAAGUCAGGUGUAAAAGGCAGUAGCUUAACUACUGUAAGCAUUUGAAACUGCAUAUCUUGAGAAGAGUAGAGGUAAGUGGAAUUUUUAGUGUAGCGGUGAAAUGCGUAGAUAUUAAAAAGAAUACCGGUGGCGAAGGCGGCUUACUGGGCUCAUUCUGACGCUGAGGAACGAAAGCGUGGGUAGCAAACAGG
This 403-nucleotide ribosomal RNA is filed under the name bacterium. Its description in RNAcentral is "partial 16S ribosomal RNA". It matches the Rfam family "Bacterial small subunit ribosomal RNA", at positions 355 to 776 of the family's 1533-position model. The record is from RNAcentral.